This 911-nucleotide long non-coding RNA is filed under the name Heterocephalus glaber (naked mole-rat). Its description in RNAcentral is "lncRNA (ENSHGLG00000042825.1)". The record is from RNAcentral. Lineage: Eukaryota; Metazoa; Chordata; Mammalia; Rodentia; Bathyergidae.
CAAGGACCUAAGAAUCCUGCCCCCACCGAGGUCGAGGUUGGCUGAGGUCAGACAAAAGAGAUUAAUAGAGCUCUGUUCUCAGCAAGCCACAAAGAGCCACUAUUACAAACAGCAGGGGGCCCUGCCAGGAGACACAGCGGGCUUUCAAGUCACAGCCAACCUAGAAAACUAAAGAGAGAGCAGUUCCAGCACAGUCCAGAAAGCCACCCGGAACUAGAGGAGGAGGAGGAGCAGUAGAAGUAACCCAAAAUGGCUCCUUACCCGAUGCAUGGCACAGUGGGGCAGCACAGGCCCCGGCCACUCGGAGAUGACGGUGAUUAUGUGCAUGAAAUGGAACUCUGCAUGACCCCGAGGAAGCAAGUCCACAAAAUCUGUGACCCAGAGAUCACUUAAAGGACACAGGAGGGUGUGUGAUGCUCUGCCCUUUUAUACAAGGGGACUUGAACUUCUAGGAACUCUGGGGUCCAAGAGGGAACUGAACCCCCACCAGUACUGAGCAAUGACUGCAUAAGACAAUUUCUCUAAGCAGCACUCAUAUUCUCGUGCCUUCCUAGAAUAGAGGAUGAUAAAAAUAAGCAUAAUUUUCAUCGUGAACAAGAGGCCAAAUUCUUCCACAUCCGAUACUAACAUUUGGAUCUUCGGGGCUCCUGGGGGAGCAGAAGUGCUGGUGUCCGUGUCUGCACUCACUGAAUUCCUAGGUUGGUGUUUAAGUUUUCAGGCUACCCUGUCAGUGCCUGCAUUCCACCUGUCCAACUCUCCAACUCUUUUAAGGCGGUGGCUCUAAUUUGCUCCCCACCUUGGAAAGCGGCACACACACACACACACACACACACACACACACACGUGUUAGGAGUGUGAGAAGAGUAGGACGACCUAGAUCUGACCUCAAUGGCAGGCUGGGUCCUGGUUAG